UACGUAGGUGGCAAGCGUUGUCCGGAUUUACUGGGCGUAAAGCGCGUGUAGGCGGUUAUCCAAGUCGGGUGUGAAAGCCUUGAGCUUAACUCAAGAAAUGCACUCGGUACUGGGUGACUAGAGGACCGGAGAGGAUAGUGGAAUUCCCAGUGUAGUGGUGAAAUACGUAGAGAUUGGGAAGAACACCAGUGGCGAAGGCGGCUAUCUGGACGGUUUCUGACGCUAAGACGCGAAAGCGUGGGGAGCAAACAGG
RNAcentral lists this ribosomal RNA (253 nucleotides) under uncultured bacterium. RNAcentral describes it as "partial 16S ribosomal RNA". It matches the Rfam family "Bacterial small subunit ribosomal RNA", at positions 524 to 776 of the family's 1533-position model. The record is from RNAcentral.